Hydra vulgaris (swiftwater hydra) is the source of this 73-nucleotide non-coding RNA. The record is from the annotation of a RefSeq genome assembly. Lineage: Eukaryota; Metazoa; Cnidaria; Hydrozoa; Anthoathecata; Hydridae.
GGCCGCGUGGCCCAAUGGAUAAGGCGUCUGACUUCGAAUCAGAAGAUUGUGGGUUCGAUCCCCAUCGUGGUCA